RNAcentral lists this ribosomal RNA (497 nucleotides) under uncultured bacterium. RNAcentral's name for it is "partial 16S ribosomal RNA". It matches the Rfam family "Bacterial small subunit ribosomal RNA", at positions 28 to 507 of the family's 1533-position model. The record is from RNAcentral.
GAUGAACGCUGGCGGCGUGCCUAAUACAUGCAAGUCGAGCGAACGGACGAGAAGCUUGCUUCUCUGACGUUAGCGGCGGACGGGUGAGUAACACGUGGAUAACCUACCUAUAAGACUGGGAUAACUUCGGGAAACCGGAGCUAAUACCGGAUAAUAUUUUGAACCGCAUGGUUCAAAAGUGAAAGACGGUCUUGCUGUCACUUAUAGAUGGAUCCGCGCUGCAUUAGCUAGUUGGUAAGGUAACGGCUUACCAAGGCAACGAUGCAUAGCCGACCUGAGAGGGUGAUCGGCCACACUGGAACUGAGACACGGUCCAGACUCCUACGGGAGGCAGCAGUAGGGAAUCUUCCGCAAUGGGCGAAAGCCUGACGGAGCAACGCCGCGUGAGUGAUGAAGGUCUUCGGAUCGUAAAACUCUGUUAUUAGGGAAGAACAUACGUGUAAGUAACUGUGCACAUCUUGACGGUACCUAAUCAGAAAGCCACGGCUAACUACGUG